CCCUUAGAUGUUCUGGGCUGCACGCGCGCUACACUGAUGCACUCAACGAGUUUACGACCUUGCCCGAUAGGGUUGGGUAAUCUUUUUAAAAUGCAUCGUGAUGGGGAUAGAUUAUUGCAAUUAUUAAUCUUCAACGAGGAAUUCCUAGUAAGCGCGAGUCAUCAGCUCGUGCUGAUUACGUCCCUGCCCUUUGUACACACCGCCCGUCGCGCCUACCGAUUGAGUGCUCAGGUGAAUAAUUCGGACUGCAGCAAUGUUUGGAUCCCGAACGUUGCAGCGGAAAGUUUAGUGAACCUUAUCACUUAGAGGAAGGAGAAGUCGUAACA
This 326-nucleotide ribosomal RNA is filed under the name uncultured eukaryote. RNAcentral's name for it is "partial 18S ribosomal RNA". It matches the Rfam family "Eukaryotic small subunit ribosomal RNA", at positions 1470 to 1796 of the family's 1831-position model. The record is from RNAcentral.